ACCAGCGACCAUAUUACGUAGAAAGCACCGAUUCUCGUCCGAUCACCGAAGUUAAAAUACGUCGGGACGGGUUAGUACUUGUUGGGUGACCGAUGGCACGUGGGGCAUCCUGGGC
RNAcentral lists this ribosomal RNA (115 nucleotides) under Rodentolepis nana. Lineage: Eukaryota; Metazoa; Platyhelminthes; Cestoda; Cyclophyllidea; Hymenolepididae. The record is from RNAcentral.